GGGCUGCAGUAUUUUGACUGUACAAAGGUAGCAUAAUCAAUAGUCUCUUAAUUGGUGACUUGUAUGAAGGAUUGGAUGAGAUAUAUACUGUCUCUAGUUAAUUUGUAGAAAUUAAUUUUUUAGUGAAAAAGCUAAAAUGAUUUUAAAAGACGAGAAGACCCUAUAGAGUUUGAUAAUUUAUUUAAUUAUUAUUAAUAUGUAAUUUUUUAAUUGAAAUUAAAUAAUUUAUUUUGUUGGGGUGAUAAAAAAAUUAAAUUAACUUUUUUUUAUUAUAAACAUUAAUUUAUGAUUAAGUGAUCCAUUUAUAGUGAUUAAAAGAAAAAAUUACCUUAGGGAUAACAGCGUAAUUUUUUUUUUUAGUUCAAAUAGGAAAAAAAGUUUGCGACCUCGAUGUUGGAUUAA
RNAcentral lists this ribosomal RNA (402 nucleotides) under Papilio diophantus. Its description in RNAcentral is "partial 16S ribosomal RNA". It matches the Rfam family "Bacterial large subunit ribosomal RNA", at positions 1928 to 2540 of the family's 2925-position model. The record is from RNAcentral. Lineage: Eukaryota; Metazoa; Arthropoda; Insecta; Lepidoptera; Papilionidae.